GACGAACGCUGGCGGCGUGCUUAACACAUGCAAGUCGAACGAUGAAGAAGAGAAACGCGAACUUCGGUUCAAAUUUCACUUCGGAUUAGUGGCAGACGGGUGAGUAACGCGUGAGCAACCUACCUCUUACAAAGGGAUAGCCUCGGGAAACCGUGAUUAAUACCAUAUGACACAUUCAUAAGGCAUCUUAAGAAUGUUAAAGCUACGGCGGUAAGAGAUGGGCUCGCGUCCCAUUAGCUGGUUGGUGAGGUAACGGCCAACCAAGGCGACGAUGGGUAACCGGCCUGAGAGGGUGAACGGUCACAUUGGAACUGAGACACGGUCCGAACUCCUACGGGAGGCAGCAGUGGGGAAUAUUGCACAAUGGAGGGAACUCUGAUGCAGCGACGCCGCGUGAGCGAUGAAGGAAUUCGUUUCGUAAAGCUCUGUUCUAUGGGAAGAAAAGGACUGUACCAUAGGAGAAAGCCCCGGCUAAAUACGUG
This 482-nucleotide ribosomal RNA is filed under the name uncultured bacterium. RNAcentral's name for it is "partial 16S ribosomal RNA". It matches the Rfam family "Bacterial small subunit ribosomal RNA", at positions 28 to 507 of the family's 1533-position model. The record is from RNAcentral.